Molecule: ribosomal RNA, 118 nt
Filed under: Candidatus Adlerbacteria bacterium GW2011_GWA1_54_10
Lineage: Bacteria; Candidatus Adleribacteriota
Also listed under: 2 other names
Source: RNAcentral
GUUUUGGUGGCUUGGCGGCGGGGUCACACCCGUUCUCAUUCCGAACACGGAAGUUAAGCCCGCUAGCGCCGAUGGUAGUUGUUGUUACAGACAGCGAGAGUAGGUAGCCGCCAGAACA